GCACUUUUCUUUUGCUUCAAUGAUGCCUAUAUCAGGGACGUCAGCUUGACUGACUAUGGCGAUAAACGGCCGGUGAAAUAAACCAUUCGGACCCGGGGGCGGUACCCGGCGCCUCCACCAUAAACCGCUGGGUAUGCAGCGGCUUGUGAUGGGGGCGAAAUAGGAUCGACGAGGGUGUAAAGAUCGGACUUUUGCUCGGCAUUGUACCACCGUUAUCGGGCUACCCUUAUAGUUGCAAACGACAACUAUGCUGAGGCACGUCUCGCUGCUUAAUGCGGCGCGAUAGUCUCAAAUCAAGCCCUGUCGGUUAGCACCCUCAGGCGGGGUUCGGAGGUACCUGGCAACAGAAACCUCCACU
RNAcentral lists this transfer-messenger RNA (358 nucleotides) under Rhizobiaceae bacterium. It matches the Rfam family "Alphaproteobacteria transfer-messenger RNA". Rfam says of the family: Bacterial tmRNA, also known as 10Sa RNA or SsrA, is named for its dual tRNA and mRNA-like properties. Lineage: Bacteria; Pseudomonadati; Pseudomonadota; Alphaproteobacteria; Hyphomicrobiales; Rhizobiaceae. The record is from RNAcentral.